This 796-nucleotide ribosomal RNA is filed under the name uncultured Methanosarcina sp. RNAcentral describes it as "SSU rRNA". It matches the Rfam family "Archaeal small subunit ribosomal RNA", at positions 85 to 879 of the family's 1478-position model. Lineage: Archaea; Methanobacteriati; Methanobacteriota; Methanomicrobia; Methanosarcinales; Methanosarcinaceae. The record is from RNAcentral.
ACUGCUCAGUAACACGUGGAUAACCUGCCCUUGGGUCCGGCAUAACCCCGGGAAACUGGGGAUAAUUCCGGAUAACGCAUAUAUGCUGGAAUGCUUUCUGCGUAAAAUGGAUUCGUCUGCCCAAGGAUGGGUCUGCGGCCUAUCAGGUAGUAGUGGGUGUAAUGUACCUACUAGCCUACGACGGGUACGGGUUGUGAGAGCAAGAGCCCGGAGAUGGAUUCUGAGACAUGAAUCCAGGCCCUACGGGGCGCAGCAGGCGCGAAAACUUUACAAUGCGGGAAACCGUGAUAAGGGGACACCGAGUGCCAGCAUCAUAUGCUGGCUGUCCGGGUGUGUAAAAUACACCUGUUAGCAAGGGCCGGGCAAGACCGGUGCCAGCCGCCGCGGUAACACCGGCGGCCCGAGUGGUGAUCGUGAUUAUUGGGUCUAAAGGGUCCGUAGCCGGUUUGGUCAGUCCUCCGGGAAAUCUGACAGCUCAACUGUUAGGCUUUCGGAGGAUACUGCCAGACUUGGAACCGGGAGAGGUAAGAGGUACUACAGGGGUAGGAGUGAAAUCUUGUAAUCCCUGUGGGACCACCUGUGGCGAAGGCGUCUUACCAGAACGGGUUCGACGGUGAGGGACGAAAGCUGGGGGCACGAACCGGAUUAGAUACCCGGGUAGUCCCAGCCGUAAACGAUGCUCGCUAGGUGUCAGGCAUGGCGCGACCGUGUCUGGUGCCGCAGGGAAGCCGUGAAGCGAGCCACCUGGGAAGUACGGCCGCAAGGCUGAAACUUAAAGGAAUUGGCGGGGGAGCAC